UUGAAAGGGAAACGAUUGAAGUCAGUCGUGCAGUCAUCAACUCAACGGUAUCGUGAGGUAAUUUAUUGCUUUACGUUUCCGUGUACUUUGUUGUCUGCUGGUUAGCAUCAAUUUUGAUUGUCAUAAAAAGGUCAGAGGGAUGUGGCUCUUUCGGGAGUGUUAUAACCUUUGGCGGAAUGUGGCGAUCGGGAUUGAGGUUUGCACGAUUAUAGUUUCCUGGCCUCUCAUCGACGUCUGAAUUGUGGAAGCUUGCUGAAGCGGUUUAGACCGUUUGUGAAAAGGUUGGAGCGACUAGAUCGUUAAGGAUGCUGACGUA
RNAcentral lists this ribosomal RNA (316 nucleotides) under uncultured Glomeromycotina. RNAcentral's name for it is "LSU rRNA". The record is from RNAcentral. Lineage: Eukaryota; Fungi; Glomeromycota.